Molecule: non-coding RNA, 29 nt
Filed under: Mus musculus (house mouse)
Lineage: Eukaryota; Metazoa; Chordata; Mammalia; Rodentia; Muridae
Source: RNAcentral
UGCACAGAACUAUCAAAAGCUUCUGCAUG